Molecule: non-coding RNA, 109 nt
Organism: Acanthosepion pharaonis
Lineage: Eukaryota; Metazoa; Mollusca; Cephalopoda; Sepiida; Sepiidae
Source: the annotation of a GenBank genome assembly
UACAGCCACAUCACGAUGAAACACUAGUUUCCAUAUGAUCACUGAAGUUAAGCAACAUCGAGCCUGGUCAAUAAUUUGAUAGGUAACCACUUGAGAAUACCAGGUGCUA